UUUUUUGUCAAAAAGCACAUUUUUAUUCAGAAGAGAGAAAAAAAUGCAUCCAGUUAACAGCAUUGGUAAAAUAAUGAAAAAAUACACAAUACAGUAAUUUUUCAGUGUAUAGUACCUUAUAAAUACAUUUAUAGACCCUGUAACAACCACAUUAUAUUUGAUCUGUGCAAACAAUACACAGAUUUUUAGCUUGAAGAAUCUUAUGAUUAUUUCUUUUCAUUAUUUAAUGUAUCGUAUGACAAAUCCAGUCAGUAUAUUCAGUAAGGAAACACAAUACCUACAACACACCUCAAGGCUAAGAAUAUUAAAAGCUAUUAAAAAUAUAUGACUGAAAAAUCUCACAAAGAAUAAAAUUCACUUUUUCAGGGAGACAAAAGAGGUUUGUGUUCUACUGAAGUCCUUUAAUACAAGAUAGAUAAACUAUACUCAAAAGGGAAGUUCCUUUGUUGGUCUUAGUGCAACACGUGAAAUUUACUAUCAGUUAAAACUGACACGAGACUGGGCAUAUAUGCUAGAAUUUAACACCAACUCUUUUUGAGACAACUAACUGUGUAAAACUAACAAGUGAUUGUGUAUUUCUAGAUGUCUGCCUUCCACCUCAGUUCUUUGGUGUAUCAGUACUUUGAUGCAGAUACCCUCUUGAAUGCCCCUGAAAAAUAAAUAAACCACCAGCAGCAACAUAGUCAAAUAGCCAAAUGCAUUCAUUGCACUUCAUAUAAUAAGGUCAUUUUUAAAAUUUGGGUGCUGGUGCCGAUGUUUACACAGAAAAUCAGUAUUUCUGUGCCUGGAUGCUGGUUUGAAUAACAAAUAUAGAACAGGAAGCUCAAGUUUGCAUAUAGCUUUUCAGUGUAUUACAAGUGAUUUUAAAUACAGUAUAAAACAGCUUAUAGGCUACUAUCUCAACAGUUAAUUUUAUGUUUGAUAUCCCCAUAGCAUUAUACCUCCUUCAAGAUUCACUGUAUUUUGAAUCAUCAGUAAAAGGCACUUGUGUAAGAUGAAAUCUCAGCACCACUGAAGGUAAGACCAAAGCUCACUGACUUCAACAGAACCAAAAAUUUUCUGAUUAUAAGCUAAACUUGCUAGUUUGCUACAUUGCACUGGUUUUCACAGUGUACUUUGCUUCCCUUGAGGAUUAUAGGAUACUUUAUUAUCAAGAGGAGUUGUUUACACUGAUCCAGCCACAUUGGUUAUUACACGUUUUUGAUUAUCUUGCACUACAGAAAAAGCAUCACACAUUAAAAGUAUACAUUCCAUUUUCUGCGUAUGCUCACCCUCUUUAUUGGGAGUUCACUAUAACUGUCUUUUGA
This 1307-nucleotide long non-coding RNA is filed under the name Strigops habroptila (Kakapo). RNAcentral's name for it is "lncRNA (ENSSHBG00005004818.1)". The record is from RNAcentral. Lineage: Eukaryota; Metazoa; Chordata; Aves; Psittaciformes; Psittacidae.